UUGCUUCAGCAGCACAUAUACUGAAAUUGGAUCGAUACAGAAAAGAUUAGGAUGGCCCCUGUGCAAGGAUGACGUGCAAAGUAAUGAAACAUUCCCAUAUUUU
Small nuclear RNA from Mastomys coucha (southern multimammate mouse), 103 nucleotides. Lineage: Eukaryota; Metazoa; Chordata; Mammalia; Rodentia; Muridae. The record is from RefSeq and is a predicted model, not a curated record.